Molecule: ribosomal RNA, 253 nt
Filed under: uncultured bacterium
Lineage: Bacteria
Description: partial 16S ribosomal RNA
Rfam family: Bacterial small subunit ribosomal RNA
Source: RNAcentral
UACGUAGGCAGCGAGCGUUGUUCGGAGUUACUGGGCGUAAAGAGUGCGUAGGCGGUGCUCCAAGUCUGGUGUGAAAUCUCCCGGCUUAACCGGGAGGGUGCGCCGGAAACUGGGGUGCUGGAGUGUGGGAGAGGUAAGCGGAAUUCCCGGUGUAGCGGUGAAAUUCGUAGAUAUUCGGAAGAACACCAGUGGCGAAGGCGACUUACUGGACACAUAUUGACGCUGAGGUGCGAAAGCGUGGGGAGCAAACAGG